CCUACGGGAGGCAGCAGUGGGGGAUAUUGCACAAUGGGGGGAACCCUGAUGCAGCGACGCCGCGUGGGUGAAGAAGCGCCUCGGCGCGUAAAGCCCUGUCAGCAGGGAAGAAAAUGACGGUACUUGAAGAAGAAGCCCCGGCUAACUACGUGCCAGCAGCCGCGGUAAUACGUAGGGGGCAAGCGUUAUCCGGAUUUACUGGGUGUAAAGGGGGUGCAGGCGGCGAUGCAAGCCAGGAGUGAAAGCCCGGGGCGCAACCCCGGGACUGCUUUUGAAACUGCAGGGCUGGAGUGCAGGAGGGGCAGGCGGAAUUCCUGGUGUAGCGGUGAAAUGCGUAGAUAUCAGGAGGAACACCGGUGGCGAAGGCGGCCUGCUGGACUGUAACUGACGUUGAGGCCCGAAAGCGUGGGGAGCAAACAGGAUUAGAUACCCCGGUAGUC
Molecule: ribosomal RNA, 440 nt
Filed under: uncultured bacterium
Lineage: Bacteria
Description: partial 16S ribosomal RNA
Rfam family: Bacterial small subunit ribosomal RNA
Source: RNAcentral